CCCGAUAGAGCUAUCCUGUCCACGCACAGGGAAUAUAAGGCUAAAUAGGACACAGUUCCUGCCCCAUGGCAGGGGGUUCAGAGCUUCCUAGCAGGCUUUACUUAAUGAACCCUGGAAUGGGGCCAGGGCAGAGAGAUGUUGAUGCUGGUACGGAGAGUUGGCCCUGGCCUAGACAGAGUCUACAGUUGAAGCUGUUGUUGAUCACCGGCAGCAUUCCAUGCCUCAGGGCACGCUUCCCCAUUACUGACACUCCUGGGCUUCCUUCCAGCGUAACGCCUGCUCUCCAUGCAAGCUCUGCAGAACUCAGGGCCCUGCACACUGCUACCUAGCCUGUGGCCACUGGGACUAAGUCCAGGACCUUGAAGAAGGCCCUGAGGAGGACCAUUUGUCUCCGCUUCUCUCAGGGGUCCCAGAGAGGAAGCUGCCAGUCUUAGGACAUCUAGUCUGUCCCCUGUCCCAAGGAAGGACGCGUGAACAUAGCAGCUGCUGUCCCAAGGGUCCCUUGGAGGGAAAAGCCCUCCUGGUCUUGGUAAACAUGUAGGAUGUUUGAUCCCAACUGCCACCUCCACGUUUCCCAGCCUCGGGUCCUCUUCUUCCUCCUUGCUUAUAAUGUGGGGUAAGGGAGGGGUCCAGAUGUCUGUAAGGGAAAGUGUGAGCAGGCAGCCAGUACCCAGAGACCCAGAGCCUUAUUUAAUAAAGGCUGGUGGAGUUGCCUUGAAACCAAGUUAGACCGAGUGACUCUCAGGCUGCCAGCAAGGAUCUGUGCUUGGGGGCCAGUCCCUGUGUGGAUCCUACGUGGGAUAGGAAAAUCUUCAUAAUGCUGUUCUAUGGUAUUGUUUUCUUGCCGAUUCUUUUGCCCUCCAACCAGGAUCGCUCAUCACACUAUAAUUGUUACUG
RNAcentral lists this long non-coding RNA (897 nucleotides) under Homo sapiens (human). Its description in RNAcentral is "HSALNT0236716". The record is from RNAcentral. Lineage: Eukaryota; Metazoa; Chordata; Mammalia; Primates; Hominidae.